Molecule: ribosomal RNA, 480 nt
Filed under: uncultured Glaciimonas sp.
Lineage: Bacteria; Pseudomonadati; Pseudomonadota; Betaproteobacteria; Burkholderiales; Oxalobacteraceae
Description: bacterial SSU rRNA
Rfam family: Bacterial small subunit ribosomal RNA
Source: RNAcentral
AGAGUUUGAUCCUGGCUCAGAUUGAACGCUGGCGGCAUGCCUUACACAUGCAAGUCGAACGGUAACAGGGAGCUUGCUCCGCUGACGAGUGGCGAACGGGUGAGUAAUAUAUCGGAACGUGCCUGAUAGUGGGGGACAACUAGUCGAAAGAUUAGCUAAUACCGCAUACGCCCUACGGGGGAAAGGGGGGGACUCGCAAGAGCCUCUCGCUAUCAGAGCGGCCGAUAUCUGAUUAGCUAGUUGGUGAGGUAAAGGCUCACCAAGGCUUCGAUCAGUAGCUGGUCUGAGAGGACGACCAGCCACACUGGGACUGAGACACGGCCCAGACUCCUACGGGAGGCAGCAGUGGGGAAUUUUGGACAAUGGGCGCAAGCCUGAUCCAGCAAUGCCGCGUGAGUGAAGAAGGCCUUCGGGUUUGUAAAGCUCUUUUGUCAGGGAAGAAACGGUUCUGGAUAAUACCUGGGGCUAAUGACGGUACCU